This 117-nucleotide non-coding RNA is filed under the name Homo sapiens (human). Lineage: Eukaryota; Metazoa; Chordata; Mammalia; Primates; Hominidae. The record is from Rfam by way of RNAcentral.
GCUGGGUGUGGUGGCUCAUGCCUGUAAUCCCAGCACUUUGGGAGGCUGAGGCGGGUGGAUCACCUGAGGUCGGGAGUUCGAGACCAGCCUGACCAACAUGGAGAAACCCCGUCUCUA